GAUCAUGGCUCAGAUUGAACGCUGGCGGCAUGCCUUACACAUGCAAGUCGAACGGCAGCACGGGGGCAACCCUGGUGGCGAGUGGCGAACGGGUGAGUAAUACAUCGGAAUGUACCCAGUAGUGGGGGAUAACUAGUCGAAAGAUUAGCUAAUACCGCAUACGCACUAUGGUGGAAAGCGGGGGAUCGCAAGACCUCGCGCUAUUGGAGCAGCCGAUGUCCGAUUAGGUAGUUGGUGGGGUAAAAGCCUACCAAGCCUGCGAUCGGUAACUGGUCUGAGAGGACGACCAGUCACACUGGGACUGAGACACGGCCCAGACUCCUACGGGAGGCAGCAGUGGGGAAUUUUGGACAAUGGGCGCAAGCCUGAUCCAGCCAUGCCGCGUGAGUGAAGAAGGCCUUCGGGUUGUAAAGCUCUUUCGGUGGGGAAGAAAUUGCACAGGAUAAUACCUUGUGUAGAUGACGGUACCCGCAUAAGAAGCACCGGCUAACUACGUG
Molecule: ribosomal RNA, 497 nt
Filed under: uncultured bacterium
Lineage: Bacteria
Description: bacterial SSU rRNA
Rfam family: Bacterial small subunit ribosomal RNA
Source: RNAcentral